This 481-nucleotide ribosomal RNA is filed under the name uncultured bacterium. RNAcentral describes it as "partial 16S ribosomal RNA". It matches the Rfam family "Bacterial small subunit ribosomal RNA", at positions 28 to 507 of the family's 1533-position model. The record is from RNAcentral.
GACGAACGUUGGCGGCGUGCUUAAUACAUGCAAGUCCACUGAAGCAGUGGUAGCAAUAUCGCUGUGGAGGUGGCGCACGGGUGAGUAACACGUAGGUAAUCUGCCUUCAGGUCUGGCAUAACUCCGUGAAACCGGGGCUAAUAGCAGAUGAUGCAGCGGCUCGACAUCGAGACAGUUGUUAAAGCUAUGGCGCCUGAAGAUGAGCCUGCGUCUGAUUAGCUAGUUGGCGGGGUAACGGCCCACCAAGGCAACGAUCAGUAGCUGGUCUGAGAGGAUGAUCAGCCACACUGGAACUGAGACACGGUCCAGACUCCUACGGGAGGCAGCAGUAAGGAAUAUUGCUCAAUGGGAGAAAUCCUGAAGCAGCAACGCCGCGUGAGGGACGAAGGGCUUUGGCUUGUAAACCUCUGUAGUGAGAGAAAAAAAUCCCAAUCUUUGGGACAUGAUGGUAUCUCAAAAGUAAGCCCCGGCUAACUACGUG